CUCCGUUUCGUUUUUAACACAAAGAAUCUACUGUUUGCCGAUAAUUUAGGUGAUUUGGAGGAUAAAUCUACGUGCACUGCUGGUUGGCAUUCCUUUUCGAACUCGAAGCGGUUGUCGACGGUCGUGUUCUGUGCUACGGUGUUACGGUGCUACAGUACUACAGUGCUACAGCUACAGUAGCUACGUACGGUACGCACGCUGCUGCCCGUUUUUUGGUUUGCGAUGGCUGCUGGCUGUUCCCCUUCUUCACUGGCAUCAGAAUCGAUGGCAUGAGAAUACAGAUAAACGAUCGGAUUCGCUGACUUUUUGGUACAACAAGUGAUUUGGAGGAUAAAUCUACGUGCACUGCUGGUUGGCAUUCCUUUUCGAACUCGAAGCGGUUGUCGACGGUCGUGUUCUGUGCUACGGUGUUACGGUGCUACAGUACUACAGUGCUACAGCUACAGUAGCUACGUACGGUACGCACGCUGCUGCCCGUUUUUUGGUUUGCGAUGGCUGCUGGCUGUUCCCCUUCUUCACUGGCAUCAGAAUCGAUGGCAUGAGAAUACAGAUAAACGAUCGGAUUCGUUGACUUUUUGGUACAACAAAUCAAAGAGCGUUUCAAGCAAUAAUUACGACGCAGACGUGAUUCUCGGACUUUCGAAACGAAAUUUAUGGCAUUUAUGCUGGCGUUAAAUCAAAUGAUGAAACAAGAAAAAACUUGACUGUGGAGAAAAGGACUAAAGUUAUAUAAUAUAGAUUAGCUGUUGUCCGUAAAUUGUAUUUUGUUAAUUUGUUGUUAGAGUAAGAUUCCUUUCUGAUGCACAAAACUUGGCUGUUUUUUAUCUUUCUAUUUCUUAACUGCUUUGUUCCUGCAGUGUUUCAAAAGCUAAUUGUGACGAAGAUGUGAUAUGUGGACCUCAAAUGUAUAGAACUGCGUAAUAACUCUAUAACUCUUUGGAGUUUAGAAGAAGAGUCAUUAAUUCUUAAGAAAUUUUUAGAUGAUAUAUAUCUAAACGAGCACCAUGGACCAAUAACGGCUAACAGGAAUUUAUUGUUGGAAAACUUUAAUGUUUGAUUCAAAAUAAACAGAGGAAGUUUAAAGGUGGCCCCAAAUUAUAUCUUAAAACAGCAUCACAAGUGAACAAGAAUUGAACGAAAUGCUCUGAUAAAGAUAUUCAUGUUGGAUUCAAAAUGAACAUUACAGCUUUAAGAAUGGCCUUAGAAAAUAUUUUCAAGCGCCCUAUAAGUCGACGAGGGCUAAGAAUGUAUGAUUGGAAAACUCAAAAAUUUGAUUCUGACUAAAUAGGAGAAAUUAUAGGAUUAACCCAUGAAAUUUUGUCCUUUAAGGAAAAUGGAUUUGUUGUAUUCGUCGCUUAACAAGACCAUAUUCAAAUGAUUUUAUGCUUAAUUUGAUGAAAUUACACUAAAAACCUGUUGCUUACUGCUAGACCCCUGCCGCUAACGGUGAAUUUUUGCCUCUAUUCGUGGUUUUGUGCUGAAAGGAAGCUGGAUUGUUACUGUAGAUUGUGCCUGCAUCAUUUUUGGAAUUGUAAAUGAAUCAUUCUAGAAACCAUUUUAAAUGACUUCCUGCUUAUUUGGGUGAAAUUACACUAAAAACCGGUUGCUAAAAGGAGUCGUUAGACCCGCCGCGAACGUGUUUCUAUUGCUUAUUGAUAAUCUUAAUAAUCGAGGAACUACUCAUUGGGUUGAUUCUAUUAGGAAUUUCGUAAGUAUCGGUAUCUGGGGCCAGCAAGUAAUUAAGUUUACGUUUACUUUUCUUAAAGGAUUUACUGAAUUACAAUCAAGGUAAUAAAGCAUUAUCUUCCUACACAAAAGUAGCUCUUAUCUCAAUUGGGUUGUUGCUGCAAGUAAAUAAUACUUUGUCCUCGAGCAAUUAUUUCCUGCUCUUGCCAAUAGUAUAUGCUACUCACAGUAGGCGUGACUAUGGAUUGGAUUAAUUAUGUUUGUCUUCUGUCAUGUUUAGAAUGUGCUUGCCUGCUUGCUGUAUGAUAUUACACUUUUUGCUUGCAUUCCUUAUUAAAUUGAAAGAAUGUAGGAGGGUCUUGUUUUUUUACUUUGAUUUUCAGGAUAGAUUCAAUUUUAAUUUGAUUUGUCAGAGGAGUAAACAGAUAAGUAAAGUUGGGAAGUCUUACCAUGAAAUGUUAUGGAAAAUUAAAACAGGAGACUUAGGGGGUAACCCAUUAAAAUAUUCAAACGAGGAACACGAAUAGACCUGGGCUUGCAAAGGUUUGAAGCAACUUUCAAUUAACGGAAGACUAGCUCCCCUACGAAGCCCGCUACGCGGGCUUGCCAGUGACCCUACGGUAGAGUACAUAGAUUAGCCUUGGAAAAGACAAGAAUUUUCUUAAUACCCCCUAUGAAUGAUAGUAAAAUUAGCCUCGGCAAAGACAAGAAUUCUGUCGAAGCCCCCUAUGAGUUUGCAGAUUAGCCUCGGAAAAGACAAGAGGGGUAUCAACCUCGAUUUGAAAAAAAUUGGCUCCGCAUA
This is a non-coding RNA of Rhopilema esculentum, 2488 nucleotides long. The record is from RefSeq and is a predicted model, not a curated record. NCBI's taxonomy places the organism in Eukaryota, Metazoa, Cnidaria, Scyphozoa, Rhizostomeae, Rhizostomatidae.